This 439-nucleotide ribosomal RNA is filed under the name uncultured bacterium. RNAcentral's name for it is "bacterial SSU rRNA". It matches the Rfam family "Bacterial small subunit ribosomal RNA", at positions 958 to 1392 of the family's 1533-position model. The record is from RNAcentral.
AACGCGAAGAACCUUACCAAGGCUUGACAUGCACGAGAAGCCACCAGAGAUGGUGGUCUCUUUGGACACUCGUGCACAGCUGGGGUGCAUGGUUGUCGUCAGCUCGUGUCGUGAGAUGUUGGGGUAAGUCCCCCAACGAGCGCAACCCUCGUCCCAUGUUGCCAGCGGGUUAUGCCGGGGCAUCAUGGGAGGCUGCCGGGGUCAAAUCGGAGGAAGGGGGGGAAGACGUCAAAUCAUCCUGCCCCUUAUGUCUUGGGCUUCACCCAUGCUUCAAUGGCCGGUACAAAAGGGUGCGAUACCGUAAGGGGGAGCGAAUCCCCAAAAACCGGUUCCAGUUCGGAUUGGCGUCUGCAACUCGACCCCCAUGAAGUCGGAGUCGGUAGUAAUUGCAGAUCAGCAACGCCUGCGGGGAAUACGUUCCCGGGCCUUGUACACACCG